GAUAGCAAUAGUGAGGGAAGCUUCAAGAACCUUGACAAAUUGACCAUGGGGCAUGUCAAUCUGAGGUUGAAACAUUGCUUUUAGCCACAUUAAUACACGAGGUGAUGCAUGCUUUAGAUUUUGACCCUCAUGCCUUUGCACAUUUCCAUGAUGAGUGAAAGAGAUGAAGGCGUAGCCAGGUCACUAUGCAAGUUAUGGAUGAGAGGUUUGGUUGUGCAGUUGCACGUAUUGUCCUGCCCCGACUAGUUAUGCAUACUAGAUACCAUU
Molecule: long non-coding RNA, 267 nt
Organism: Zingiber officinale
Lineage: Eukaryota; Viridiplantae; Streptophyta; Magnoliopsida; Zingiberales; Zingiberaceae
Exons: 4
Source: RefSeq, a predicted model, not a curated record